RNAcentral lists this ribosomal RNA (497 nucleotides) under uncultured bacterium. Its description in RNAcentral is "partial 16S ribosomal RNA". It matches the Rfam family "Bacterial small subunit ribosomal RNA", at positions 28 to 507 of the family's 1533-position model. The record is from RNAcentral.
GAUGAACGCUGGCGGCGUGCCUAAUACAUGCAAGUCGAGCGAACGGACGAGGAGCUUGCUCUUCUGAUGUUAGCGGCGGACGGGUGAUUAACACGUGGAUAACCUACCUAUAAGACUGGGAUAACAUCGGGAAACCGUAUCUAAUACCGGAUAAUAUUUUGAACCGCAUGGGUCAAAAGUGAAAGACGGUCUUGCUGUCACUAAAAGAUUACUCCGCGCUGCAUUCGCUAGUUGGUAAGGUAACGGCUUAACAAGGCAACGAUGCAGAGCCGCCCUGAACGGGAGGUCCGCCACACGGGAUGUGAGAAUCGGCCGCGACACUGAGGCGAGGCAGCAGUAGGGACUCCUCCGCGAUGCGGCAGUGCCUGACGGUGCAAAGUCGCGUGAGUCAUGAACCUCUUCUGCUCGUAAAGCGAUGUUAUUAGGAGAGAAGAUAUGUGUAAGUAACCGUGCACAUAUUGACGGUACCUAAUCAGUAAGCCCCGGCUAACUCCGUG